UGUUCCCAACAUUGUUCGACAAAAAAGAAGUGAUGAACUAUUUGAAUUGAUGAAAUUCAGAAAUUCUAGGGCUUUAUAGCCUUGUGGUUGAUUCACCUUCCGAUCAUUCAGAAUCCUCGAGAUUUCUCUCAUUUGCAGAAAUAAAAUUUCUAUAGGGUGGUUCUGAUUUUGGGACAAUGUCUCGGGUUUAUGUUGGGAAUUUGGACCCUCGUGUCUCUGAGAGGGAUCUCGAAGACGAAUUUCGCUUGUAUGGUGUUCUGCGAAGUGUCUGGGUUGCACGUAGACCACCAGGAUAUGCAUUUCUCGAGUUUGAUGAUAAGAGGGAUGCACUGGAUGCAAUCCAUGCUUUGGAUGGAAAAAAUGGCUGGCGUGUAGAGCUUUCUCAUAAUUCUAAGGGUGGUGGAGGAGGCCGUGGUGGUGGGCGUGGGCGUGGAGGUGAGGACCUGAAAUGCUAUGAAUGUGGUGAACCUGGACACUUUGCUCGUGAGUGUCGCUCCCGCGGUGGUUCAAGAGGCCUGGGAAGUGGAAGGAGACGAAGUCCUAGUCCUUACCGGCGUCGUAGAAGUCCAAGUUAUGGUUAUGGCCGUAGGAGUUAUAGUCCUCGUGGGAGGAGAUCUCCAAGACCUCGUAGCAUAACACCUCCUCUUCGUGGUCGCAGCAACAGCAGGUCCCCUCCAUACCGUCAUGCUCGUCGUGUUUCACCUUAUGCUAAUGGAGAUUAAGAUCACAAUGUGAAUGGAGCAAAUGCUAAAUAAUUGUUAGGAGCCUGCUCUGCUUUAUUCUAGUUCCUCUAGGAUUGGAUGAGCAUCCAACAUACAUGUUAAUUAUGUCGAUGUCAUGACAAAGGGUAUUGUUGGGAACUUGGAAUAUGACGUCACUUGUGUAGUGUAAUAGCUGCCAAAAGGGUGCAUUGGACACUGUUUUGCAUUGGAUGUCUUGUCUCUUCAGCUUACUGAAUCCUGAAGCCAAAACAAAGCUUCGUUUCGCCACUUAGUACUUCUUGUCUGCUUCUCUGCUGCAUGCCUCUACAGUCAUCUUCUUGCUUCUGCAUAUAAGCUGACUAAAACUGCAAUGUUGGCUAGUUGCUCUGGGUAUGACCUUUUUGUUGACAAUGCUACAGUUGCAUCCUUCUUUUGAAUUGGAGAAGUCCAAAGGUGGAUGGAUAAAAACCUAGUUAUUCACUUGCUGCACCAUCUUUUUAAAAUUGGGACUUGUUUAGUGAGUAGCUGUGUAUUGUGUCUGCUUCUCGUCAUUCUGUGUGGUUGAAUUGAUGCUACUUUGGAUGUCUGCAUCCCAAUUAGAGUGUUUCUUGUUUCAUCCGUGGUCUUAAUGGUACGCGCUUGGCACUGCAAUUAUCAGCAUCUUGGUUGUGUGAGACACUAAGCUUACAUCAUCUACAAGAGAGUAAGAUAAGAUUGACCCUAUUUAACGAAACGCACAGGCCAAUUGUCUUUCAUUCUUCACUUUCAGCCAUUCGAUUCCUUAGAUUUUGCACGCUUCUAACUAGAACUUUUGUCUAUUCACAAGCUACUGGGAUCUGCUACUAAUUGUCCCCCAUUUAUAAAACUUCCACACUAAGUCGAGUGUAUUAACUCCAGUUUAUUGACCUUAUUGAGGAAUUAAGUUAUUGCAUUGGAUGGUUGAUUUUGAGGAAUUCAGUUUAGAGUUGGGUGCAUUGCCAUAUUGCCAUUUUUCUUUGCUUAUUGUAUAAUCCUUUGACAUGCAACGGCCAUGCGUGCCGUGAUUUGCCCUGGUAUUAAUUAUCCCUUUGGAAUUCUAUUUUUAUUUUUAUUUGAAA
Molecule: RNA transcript, 1798 nt
Organism: Lotus japonicus
Lineage: Eukaryota; Viridiplantae; Streptophyta; Magnoliopsida; Fabales; Fabaceae
Gene name: serine/arginine-rich splicing factor RSZ21
Exons: 7
Source: RefSeq, a predicted model, not a curated record